CGUGGUCGUUCAACUGCUGUGUGAAUAAGAAAAAAGAAAAGGAACAAUCUUUAUCUCUAUCUUUAUCCUUCACUAUUAUAUAAAAAUUCAAUUUCUUUUUUCUUUUUGGUGUACUGUUUAUCUUUGUGUGAUAUUUAAACAAGUAUUUACUGGUGAGGGCGGUAUUUUGGCAAAUGGGUCAUUUUUAAAUCUCUCCAAUUCGCUGAAAAAAUGGAUUUUUCUAUCUUUUGAGGGCAUCCAUCAUGGAUCUGGAAACUGGG
Molecule: unclassified non-coding RNA, 260 nt
Filed under: Hevea brasiliensis (rubber tree)
Lineage: Eukaryota; Viridiplantae; Streptophyta; Magnoliopsida; Malpighiales; Euphorbiaceae
Source: RNAcentral